Molecule: ribosomal RNA, 407 nt
Filed under: uncultured bacterium
Lineage: Bacteria
Description: partial 16S ribosomal RNA
Rfam family: Bacterial small subunit ribosomal RNA
Source: RNAcentral
GACGAACGCUGGCGGCGUGCCUAAUACAUGCAAGUAGAACGCAGUUGCGAACGGGUGAGUAACGCGUAGGUAACUGCCUCAUAGCGGGGGAUAACUAUUGGAAACGAUAGCUAAUACCGCAUACUGUGAGAUGGACAUGCGUUGUAUUAGCUAGUUGGUGAGGUAAAGGCUCACCAAGGCGACGAUACAGAGCCGAGCUGAGAGGGUUGCCGGCCACACUGGGACUGGGACACGGGUCAGAACCCUUCGGGGAGCAGCAGUAGGGAAUCUUCGGAAAGUGAGGGAAGUCUGACCGAGGAACGGCGGGGGAUAGGAGAAGGUUUUCGGAUCGUAAAACUCUGUUGUUAGGGAAGCGGUACCUAACCAGAAAGGGACGGCUAACUACGUGCCAGCCGCCGCGGUAAUUC